Molecule: long non-coding RNA, 1068 nt
Filed under: Anas platyrhynchos platyrhynchos (common mallard)
Lineage: Eukaryota; Metazoa; Chordata; Aves; Anseriformes; Anatidae
Description: lncRNA (ENSAPLG00000024369.1)
Source: RNAcentral
UUUUUUUUUUUUUUCCCUUCAAUCUGCUCUCCCAGAGGCCCAAAGGAGACCCAGUGUCAUUCACUGGCUCUGGCCAGUGGCAGGUCCCUUUUGGAGCCAUCUGGAGCUGGCUCUGAUCUGACAUGGGGCAGCUGCAGGGCUCUGCCCCUGCAGCCUUCCCUGCUUCCUCCCCCCGAAGCUACCAAAACCUUGCCCCAGAAGCCCAGUACAUUGGAUCAGGAAUUAUGCUUGUUUUAUGUUGAUAUGUGAUUUUUAAUUUUUUUUUUUUCAAUAUGCAUUUUUUAUAGAGAGGACAUAAGUGGUUAUUUUCACAUCUGUGGUUUUUCUGGUAAUUCAAUUGGUCUGUGUUUUAAAAAGGAUUCAGGUUGGAAAAACAGCAAAUGCAACAAGACUGUACAUUUGAGAAGGCGUGGGUCCUGCCAUAAAGAAUAGCGAAGCGUGAAGAAUGGGUGAUUUGUCAUGGAACAUCACAGCUACCCAGUGAGCAGUCUUGAUGUGCCAAGGUGUGCAGAUGUCCUUUGGCCUCUUUUCUCUUCCUCAAAGCCAACAAAACUGGCCAAUUCUAGUCUGAAUGCCUUCUGUGAAAAUAGAACCUGAGAGUGGAGGAGAAUCUGGGACCAAAUGUUUGCUGAGGCCAUGCCAGAAAUGAAGAGAAGGGAAAAAAUAAUGAAUUCCUGAAGAGCAAGGUAAGAGUCAAGCUGGGGCAUCCUGGCUCUAAAAUACUUAAAGCAUAAGCUGCUACAGUGAGGGAUAAACCUGACAUUCCUUAGGGUACUGACAGCUGACUCUGUCUGCAUUUUGUUCUUUUCUAUCCAUGGUGGCUAAAAUCAACAUGGCAUAAAAAAGGCAGUGAAGCAGGAUCUUAAUUACUGAGUCUCUGCUGGUGAAGCUGUGUUUGUUCAUCUUACCCGGCACACUCUGUAGCAGAGUCCUCCUGCUGCCACACCUAAGAAAUGUGAACUGCCAGAAGCGCUCCUCUUUUACAUUAGCGAAGAGGAGGUUAUUGAUGUAGCUGUAUAAAACCAGAGGAGGAACAGAACAGAGAGGUGGGUGAGUCCCUCCCUUCUU